ACAUCGAAGCCUCUAUGCAUUUGUGUGGAAGGCAAUGUGAUGUAAAGGUGUUCGUUUUCGCAGACUGGCUUACUUGAAGUCCAUAUUUGACUGUGGCUUGUGUAUAAUUAUACUCCCAGAGAUGGUGAAAGGCCAGUUCAAGUUGGUAAUUAGACCAGACUGUCUGCGUAUAUACGUUCACUGUUGAGUCGGAUUGCUUGAGAUUGCAGUCCAAAUAUGGUGGUAAACUCCAUCAAAGGCUAAAUACCUGUGUGAAUCCGAUAGUCAACAAGUACCGUGAGGGAAAGUUGAAAAGUACUCUGAAGAGAGAGUAAAUAGUGCGUGAAACUACAUGAAGGUUAAACGGAUAGAGUCCAACUGCGU
This 363-nucleotide ribosomal RNA is filed under the name Benedenia seriolae. Its description in RNAcentral is "eukaryotic LSU rRNA". It matches the Rfam family "Eukaryotic large subunit ribosomal RNA", at positions 111 to 439 of the family's 3401-position model. Lineage: Eukaryota; Metazoa; Platyhelminthes; Monogenea; Capsalidea; Capsalidae. The record is from RNAcentral.